GAUGAACGCUGGCGGCGUGCCUAAUACAUGCAAGUCGAGCGAACAGACGUGGAUCUUUCUCCUCUGACGUUAGCGGCGGGCGGGUUAGCAACAGGUGGAUAACCUCCCUAUUAGCCUGGGAUAACUUAGGGAAACCGCUGCUAAAACCAGAUAUAAUAUUGUACCGCAUGGUUCUAUAUUGUAAUACGGUUUUGCUGUAAUUAUCGCUUGGAUCCGCGCUUCAUUGGUUAGAUGGUAAGGUAAAGGUUUCACCAGGCAACGAGGCGUAGCCGACCUCAGAGGCUGAUCGCAGACACUGGAACGGGGACACGGUCCAGACUCCUACGAGAGGCAGCAGUAGGGAAUCUUCCGCAGUGGGCGAAAGCCUGACGGAGCAACGCCGCGUGAGUGAUGAAGGUCUUCGGAUCGUAAAACUCUGUUAUUAGGGAAGAACAAAUGUGUAAUUAACUGUGCAGGUCUUGACGGUACCUAAUCAAAAAGCAACGGCUAACUACGUG
This 497-nucleotide ribosomal RNA is filed under the name uncultured bacterium. RNAcentral describes it as "partial 16S ribosomal RNA". It matches the Rfam family "Bacterial small subunit ribosomal RNA", at positions 28 to 507 of the family's 1533-position model. The record is from RNAcentral.